Cercocebus atys (sooty mangabey) is the source of this 87-nucleotide microRNA precursor. Ensembl annotates it as microRNA 520c. Its record names the gene MIR520C. Lineage: Eukaryota; Metazoa; Chordata; Mammalia; Primates; Cercopithecidae. The record is from Ensembl.
UCUCAGGCUGUGACCCUCUAGAGGGAAGCGCUUUCUGUGGUCUGAAAGAAAAGAAAGUGCUUCCUUUUAGAGGGUUACCGUUUGGGA